Rhineura floridana is the source of this 420-nucleotide long non-coding RNA. RefSeq lists it as uncharacterized. The transcript is spliced from 2 exons. The record is from RefSeq and is a predicted model, not a curated record. NCBI's taxonomy places the organism in Eukaryota, Metazoa, Chordata, Lepidosauria, Squamata, Rhineuridae.
GUUCUUCUGCAGGACAAGCCCUGCAGGCCUCAAGAACAUCAGAUCAAGCAAACCCCUCUAGAAAUGCAAAGUUAUUAGUCAGGCACCCUGCACCUAAGGGUGCUUUUCUGAGUAGGCAAAUUACAUCCCUGACUGCCAACUUUGGAUGAUGAGAAGCCGUUUGCCAAAUGAAAAAAUGUUUAGGGAUGCUGGAGGCAGAUAAACAAGCCAUUCAUCCAAUACACCAUCAAAAUAUUUUGCCUGCAAUAAAGCCACGACUGACCUCCUCAGAACAAACCAUCUACAGAUGCAUGCAACAAUGGAGUGAUGAGUCCUAAGUAACUGCGUGUUAGAAAGAUUGCUUUUCCACCAGCAUUUCCUGAAUGUAGCACUCAAAGUCAAUUAAUGCUGAUAAAAGCGUCGCUUGUUUUGUAAUGUAAA